This 468-nucleotide ribosomal RNA is filed under the name uncultured bacterium. Its description in RNAcentral is "partial 16S ribosomal RNA". It matches the Rfam family "Bacterial small subunit ribosomal RNA", at positions 28 to 507 of the family's 1533-position model. The record is from RNAcentral.
GACGAACGCUGGCGGCGUGCUUAACACAUGCAAGUCGAACGGAAAGGCCCUGCUUUUGUGGGGUGCUCGAGUGGCGAACGGGUGAGUAACACGUGAGUAACCUGCCCUUGACUUUGGGAUAACUUCAGGAAACUGGGGCUAAUACCGGAUAGGAGCUCCUGCUGCAUGGUGGGGGUUGGAAAGUUUCGGCGGUUGGGGAUGGACUCGCGGCUUAUCAGCUUGUUGGUGGGGUAGUGGCUUACCAAGGCUUUGACGGGUAGCCGGCCUGAGAGGGUGGCCGGCCACAUUGGGACUGAGAUACGGCCCAGACUCCUACGGGAGGCAGCAGUGGGGAAUAUUGCACAAUGGGCGGAAGCCUGAUGCAGCAACGCCGCGUACGGGAUGACGGCCUUCGGGUUGUAAACCGCUUUCGCCUGUGACGAAGCGUGAGUGACGGUAAUGGGUAAAGAAGCACCGGCUAACUACGUG